UGGGGAAUAUUGGACAAUGGGGGCAACCCUGAUCCAGCCAUGCCGCGUGAGUGAUGAAGGCCUUAGGGUUGUAAAGCUCUUUCACCGGGGAAGAUAAUGACGGUACCCGGAGAAGAAGCCCCGGCUAACUUCGUGCCAGCAGCCGCGGUAAUACGAAGGGGGCUAGCGUUGUUCGGAAUUACUGGGCGUAAAGCGCACGUAGGCGGACAUUUAAGUCAGGGGUGAAAUCCCGAGGCUCAACCUCGGAACUGCCUUUGAUACUGGAGAUCUCGAGUUCGGGAGAGGUGAGUGGAACUGCGAGUGUAGAGGUGAAAUUCGUAGAGAUCGGGAGGAAUAUCAGUGGCGAAGGCGCCCAUCUGGACGGUAACUGACGCUGAGACGCGAAAGCGUGGGGAGCAAACA
This 402-nucleotide ribosomal RNA is filed under the name uncultured prokaryote. RNAcentral describes it as "bacterial SSU rRNA". It matches the Rfam family "Bacterial small subunit ribosomal RNA", at positions 355 to 774 of the family's 1533-position model. The record is from RNAcentral.